UACAGAGGUCUCAAGCGUUGUUCGGAUUCAUUGGGCGUAAAGGGUGCGUAGGUGGCGCUGUAAGUCGGGUGUGAAAUUUCGGAGCUUAACUCCGAAACUGCAUUCGAUACUGCGGUGCUUGAGGACUGGAGAGGAGACUGGAAUUCAUGGUGUAGCAGUGAAAUGCGUAGAGAUCAUGAGGAAGACCAGUGGCGAAGGCGGGCCUCUGGACAGUUCCUGACACUGAGGCACGAAGGCCAGGGGAGCAAACGGG
This 253-nucleotide ribosomal RNA is filed under the name uncultured bacterium. Its description in RNAcentral is "partial 16S ribosomal RNA". It matches the Rfam family "Bacterial small subunit ribosomal RNA", at positions 524 to 776 of the family's 1533-position model. The record is from RNAcentral.